ACCUAGCUGGUUCAGUCAGUAUAGCAUGAGACUCUUGAUCUCAGGGUUGUGAGUUUGAGCCCCAUAUUGGGUA
RNAcentral lists this transfer RNA (73 nucleotides) under Canis lupus familiaris (dog). It matches the Rfam family "tRNA". Rfam says of the family: Transfer RNA (tRNA) molecules are approximately 80 nucleotides in length. Their secondary structure includes four short double-helical elements and three loops (D, anti-codon, and T loops). Further hydrogen bonds mediate the characteristic L-shaped molecular structure. tRNAs have two regions of fundamental functional importance: the anti-codon, which is responsible for specific mRNA codon recognition, and the 3' end, to which the tRNAs corresponding amino acid is attached (by aminoacyl-tRNA synthetases). tRNAs cope with the degeneracy of the genetic code in two manners: having more than one tRNA (with a specific anti-codon) for a particular amino acid; and 'wobble' base-pairing, i.e. permitting non-standard base-pairing at the 3rd anti-codon position. RNAcentral also lists the same sequence under 1 other name. Lineage: Eukaryota; Metazoa; Chordata; Mammalia; Carnivora; Canidae. The record is from Rfam by way of RNAcentral.